This is a long non-coding RNA of Thunnus maccoyii (southern bluefin tuna), 2594 nucleotides long. RefSeq lists it as uncharacterized. Lineage: Eukaryota; Metazoa; Chordata; Actinopteri; Scombriformes; Scombridae. The transcript has 3 exons. The record is from RefSeq and is a predicted model, not a curated record.
UUAGCCUAUAUUCAUUCUUCUCUGUUACAUCUCAACAGGACCCAUCUCAACAGCCAAAAAAGAAUGUGGCAACAACUGAAAAUUAAAUAUAAAAACAUUUUCCAGAGUGGUAAGUAGCUAUAAUGAAAUGUGAAAUUUAUUUGUUAAAAUAGUUGUUGAUCUGUAAAUAUGUACCAUAGUCACCACCAAAAAAAGACAGAUGCCACUGCUACUGGAUGGGGACCUCCACUUGAGGACUUCAUACCUGUAGAAGAGCUGGUGUUGAGCUACAACCGGGGGCACCCACUAACACAGGGAAUAGAAGGGGGGACCUCCUCACACAGCAAUAUGUGCAAGGUAUUGUCUACUACGUUUCUUCAACAGGUAUCAGUCUCUCAAUGGUAAAAACUUACAGUAGGCCUAUAUCUUUCAGUGAAUGGAGACACUAUAUACCUGCUAGAUCCCCCAACUUAGGAUGCUCAAGGCUUACCUGACCCAUGAGGAGAUGGCGCCAGCAUGUCUAGGGCCCUUGAUAAGGAGACUAUUUCUACAGUCACAGAAAUGCCAUAAGUUUUUCCAAUACGAGGAUAAAGGUGUGGCAGAGGAGAGCAUCAUCUUUCAUCACUGUGGAUUAUGGAAAAUAUUUGAACAGAAAAAAAAGAAAGAAAAAAAAACACAAGCAAAAGACUGCCUGGAUUUGUGACUGAUGCUUCAGCACCUAUCACUGUAAGCAGACUUCACUGACCCAGGUAACUGCAGGAUAUAUAGAAAGGUAAGGAUCUUCAAGUGUAAAUGAUUUUUCUUUCAUUUCAUUUGCUGGGUCAUACUGCUGACUGUAAACCAGCCUGAUGACUGCUUUGAAGGCGUCCUGGAGUUGUGUGUUGGAUGGUGUAUGUUUUGCAUUCAGAGGUGUUUGUCACACUCACUGCAGUGGUAUUCUUGUUUUCCCGGUCUGUCAUGCUGUUCUAUCUCACACAGGCUCUGCUCUCUACUGGACUCGGUGGGUAGUGGCACUUUCCAAUCACACAUAUGUAUUCACCCACUGAAAUUUGCAUGUACGUAGCCGGCCAAUCAGGACGUGCCUACCGAAUAUGUGUGUCCCACACAGUAUAUAAGGAAGCGUCUUCGCUGCCUCUCAUCCUCUUUUCUUCGAUGACAGUGAAGUUUGCCCACUGAUCUGUUUUCUCUGCGGAUGCAAUCGCCGCUUCAAGAAACUCAUCAGAAGCCCAUCAUGUCCCAGCCUUAUCACCACCACCAACCUGCAUGUUUACUGCUUUGAGUGUCUCAGACAGGAAUAGGCAGAGAGCGGUGUUGGGCAGCCGCUGACCUGCGUGGGCUGCCGGGCGCUCCCCAGGACCAGGCACCAGCAGUGGUGGGACCCAUACUGGUGCUUUGAUGUGAUACUUCGCUGUGAGGAGAGUGAACAAGAGUUUGACACUGAUUUCCCACGCCGACUGACGAUCCUCCAUCACUACGACAUCACCACAACUGCUGCCAGUGCCUGCGUCAAUUGACGACAAUAACAACUUCUCAAUGGUGUCUGGGACAUUACUGACCUUUGGGAAUCUGCCGCCAACUUCUGUUUGCCAGGAUUUCCUGAAAGUGAUGACCAUGGCGCCGGAGAGAGUCAGGCUUACACUGCCCCCACUGAUCCUUCUGAAAUUGGUAAUCUGGCUCCAUAAAGGUUUUUACGAGCUGGCUCACCCGGCCCAGCCAUUCUAUGUCUCCUCUUCCCUUCCAGACAUCUGGCAGUGCAACAAAGUGUCCUGGAGGGAGCUGCUGAAAAUGAAGGCUCCAGUAGUGGGACUGGUGGACUUCCUGAGAGUGCAGGGCUGUGACGUGCCGGCGGGGUUCACCGCACCCUCCCACCAUGUUUCAUGUUCUUUGGACAGUCAUAUGAGUGAUGUUCAUGUUAAUGCCUCUGUUCAUGCAUGUGUUGAAAAUGUUUUGAUUAAAACAAAAUACAUUUUCCACGAAAGAGCACAAUCCACUCCCCUCUUUUCCACCCCGCCAUCCAUGAGGCUGUGGUGAAUUCGACUCAGCCCGUUUCACUCAUCGGAUCACGGAGGCUGUGUGAAAUACACACACACACACAGCCAGUAUCCCUGCCACUUCUCCCAUGUUGGAGUCAGAUGGCCAGACUAAUCGUACCACUGUGUGCAGUGAAACCAUAGCACUGUGCCCAUUCACAAGUGGUAUAUUAGGCGUGAUGCUGUCAGAAAACACAUCUCACCGGACAUGACGACAUUAAGAAACAUGUCUGUUUUCUGCUGUGCUCGCAAAUGUCAUUUUCCACCAGACUGGCUCACACAGCUUAUUUCUCAAGUUAAGAGUGAUGUGUCUGGCUGCAUUAUCUCCUCUUUGAUGAGUGAUUCGCCUCACACACACACAAGCCGGAGAGAAGGGAGUGUAUGUCUUUCACCUUUCCCUUCAGCUGUUUCCAUACGGAAUACGGAAGGGAACAAACACAAUGACAUAAAGCCACUGUUGUGACAAUUUCAGGUAACGACCUCACUGCCAACUCGGCUCUUUCCACACCGGCCCAAAUGGGCCAAACUUGCAUUUAUGGAAGGUUUGGCGCUGGAGAAGGCCAAAUUGGAAUAUUAUGCAUUGUA